AUCCAGCUGAUGAGUCCUGAAUGUGACGAGACGCGCGUCCUGGAU
Schistosoma haematobium is the source of this 45-nucleotide non-coding RNA. The record is from Rfam. Lineage: Eukaryota; Metazoa; Platyhelminthes; Trematoda; Strigeidida; Schistosomatidae.